This 406-nucleotide ribosomal RNA is filed under the name uncultured bacterium. RNAcentral describes it as "partial 16S ribosomal RNA". It matches the Rfam family "Bacterial small subunit ribosomal RNA", at positions 29 to 526 of the family's 1533-position model. The record is from RNAcentral.
AUUGAACGCUGGCGGCAGGCCUAACACAUGCAAGUCGAACGAGUGGCGGACGGGUGAGUAAUGUCUGGGAAACUGCCCGAUGGAGGGGGAUAACUACUGGAAACGGUAGCUAAUACCGCAUACAAUCGGAUGUGCACAGAUGGGAGUAGCUGGUAGGUGAGGUAACGGCUCACCUAGGCGACGCUGCCUAGGUGGUCUGAGAGGAUGACCAGCAAAAAUGGAACUGAGACACGGUCCAGAUUCAUAAGGGAGGCAGCAGGAGGGAAUAGGGCGAAAUGGGCGAAAGCCGGAUGGAGCCAGGCCGCGUGUAUGAAGAAGGCCUUCGGGUUGUAAAGUUUGUUCAGCGGGGAGGCGUUACCCACAGAAGAAGCACCGGCUAACUCCGUGCCAGCAGCCGCGGUAAUUC